UUGUUACAUGACAAUACUGGAAGGAUUUGCCUCCUGAUUCAUAAUGCAAACAAGAAGGAUGCUGGGUGGUACACAGUAUCUGCAGUCAACGGAGCAGGAGUGGCCACGUGCCAUGCCAGACUGGAGGUUGCAACACAUACGCACAAGCCAGUUCCAGCCCCAAAGCACCUACGAGUCCGACCAACUUUCAGCAAGUAUUUGGCCCUCAAUGGCAGAGGGCUGGAUGUGAAACAAGCCUUCUCACCAGAGGGAGAGUUUCAGCGUUUGGCUGAGCAGUCUGGACUGUAUGAAAGCGAUGAACUUUAACUGGAAACAAAGAAGAAAACUCACACCAACGAGAGACAGUGCCAACACAGAUGUAGUUCACUGGUAGUAGUUCUAAUUAGCAAAAUACCUAUCUAUGUAUUUUUACUGUGACUCUUGCACAUUCUGCUGUUCCCAUGUUUUACCAUGUUAGAUGUUAUUUAUGUGGGUUGGUGAAUAUAACCAUUUUCUGAGUAUUGUAUUGUAAGGAUAGAGCCCAAGCAGGCAGGCCGAUCAGCUCCCACAGCGCGGGCAGCUCCAGCCCCACUGUGCUGGGUUACGUGCUGAAGUAGAUGGGUUUGUGCUGCUUCUCUAAUACUGCUCUUGAAGAAGCUCUGUGCUGUCUGAUUACUAAAACCAAAUAAAUAGAGUGUUUUUAUGAGAAUUAAGUAGAAGCAAAUAAAAUCUUAAACACCCGAA
This is a non-coding RNA of Meleagris gallopavo (turkey), 723 nucleotides long. The record is from RefSeq and is a predicted model, not a curated record. Lineage: Eukaryota; Metazoa; Chordata; Aves; Galliformes; Phasianidae.